Molecule: ribosomal RNA, 207 nt
Filed under: Triticum aestivum (bread wheat)
Lineage: Eukaryota; Viridiplantae; Streptophyta; Magnoliopsida; Poales; Poaceae
Description: partial small subunit ribosomal RNA
Source: RNAcentral
AUGGAGGGUCUAACUCCAACAUCUUCUUUGAUUCAUGAAGCCACUAUGGUCACUACUCACGUUUUCAUGAUAGCAAGGUGCUCCCCUUUAUUUUGUGGCAACCACUGGAAUAUCACAGAAUGAUCUAAUGAGCGUCAUAACUUAUCCAACUUGCAGUCAAUUAGACUACAUGGUCUUUCCUUGCGGCAUGUCUUACUAUUCCAUUAG